RNAcentral lists this ribosomal RNA (652 nucleotides) under uncultured bacterium. RNAcentral describes it as "bacterial SSU rRNA". It matches the Rfam family "Bacterial small subunit ribosomal RNA", at positions 97 to 763 of the family's 1533-position model. The record is from RNAcentral.
GGCGGACGGGUGAGUAACGCGUAAGGAACUUGCCUCUUGGUCUGGGACAACUGUUGGAAACGACAGCUAAUACCGGAUAUUAUGAGAUUCUCGCAUGGGAAACUUAUGAAAGCUAUAUGCGCCAAGAGAGAGCCUUGCGUUCCAUUAGCUAGUUGGUGGGGUAACGGCCCACCAAGGCGACGAUGGAUAGCCGGCCUGAGAGGGUGAACGGCCACAAGGGGACUGAGACACGGCCCUUACUCCUACGGGAGGCAGCAGUGGGGAAUAUUGGACAAUGGGCCACAAGCCUGAUCCAGCAAUUCUGUGUGCACGAUGAAGGUCUUCGGAUUGUAAAGUGCUUUCAGUUGGGAAGAAGAAAGUGACGGUACCAACAGAAGAAGCGACGGCUAAAUACGUGCCAGCAGCCGCGGUAAUACGUAUGUCGCAAGCGUUAUCCGGAUUUAUUGGGCGUAAAGCGCGUCUAGGCGGAAAAAUAAGUCUGAUGUUAAAAUGCGGGGCUCAACUCCGUAUUGCGUUGGAAACUGUUUUUCUAGAGUACUGGAGAGGUGGGCGGAACUACAAGUGUAGAGGUGAAAUUCGUAGAUAUUUGUAGGAAUGCCGAUGGAGAAGUCAGCUCACUGGACAGAUACUGACGCUAAAGCGCGAAAGCGUG